Molecule: ribosomal RNA, 433 nt
Filed under: uncultured bacterium
Lineage: Bacteria
Description: partial 16S ribosomal RNA
Rfam family: Bacterial small subunit ribosomal RNA
Source: RNAcentral
AACGAACGCUGGCGGCAUGCCUAACACAUGCAAGACGAACGAGACCUUCGGGUCUAGUGGCGCACGGGUGCGUAACGCGUGGGAACCUGCCCUUAGGUUCGGAAUAACUCCCCGAAAGGGGUGCUAAUACCGGAUAAUGUCUUCGGACCAAAGAUUUAUCGCCUUUGGAUGGGCCCGCGUUGGAUUAGCUAGUUGGUAGGGUAAAAGCCUACCAAGGCGACGAUCCAUAGCUGGUCUGAGAGGAUGAUCAGCCACACUGGGACUGAGACACGGCCCAGACUCCUACGGGAGGCAGCAGUGGGGAAUAUUGGACAAUGGGCGAAAGCCUGAUCCAGCAAUGCCGCGUGAGUGAUGAAGGCCUUAGGGUUGUAAAGCUCUUUUACCCGGGAUGAUAAUGACAGUACCGGGAGAAUAAGCUCCGGCUAACUCCGUG